RNAcentral lists this ribosomal RNA (376 nucleotides) under uncultured bacterium. Its description in RNAcentral is "bacterial SSU rRNA". It matches the Rfam family "Bacterial small subunit ribosomal RNA", at positions 524 to 898 of the family's 1533-position model. The record is from RNAcentral.
UACGAAGGGGGCAAGCGUUGUUCGGAUUUAUUGGGCGUAAAGGGCGUCUAGGUGGUUAAUUAAGUCGGAUGUGAAACCCUUCAGCUCAACUGAGGAACUGCAUCCGAUACUGAUUAGCUUGAGUAUAGGAGAAGGGAGUGGAAUUCUCAGUGUAGCGGUGAAAUGCGUAGAUAUUGAGAAGAACACCGGUGGCGAAGGCGGCUCUCUAGCCUAAAACUGACACUAAAGCGCGAAAGCCAGGGGAGCGAACGGGAUUAGAUACCCCGGUAGUCCUGGCCGUAAACUAUGGGUACUUGGUGUAGGAGGUAUCGACCCCUUCUGUGCCGGAGUUAACACGUUAAGUACCCCGCCUGGGGAGUACGGCCGCAAGGUUGAA